Molecule: ribosomal RNA, 253 nt
Filed under: uncultured bacterium
Lineage: Bacteria
Description: partial 16S ribosomal RNA
Rfam family: Bacterial small subunit ribosomal RNA
Source: RNAcentral
GACAGAGGGUGCAAACGUUGUUCGGAAUUACUGGGCGUAAAGAGCUCGUAGGUGGUUUGUCGCGUUGUCCGUGAAAACUCACAACUCAAUUGUGGGCGUGCGGGCGAUACGGGCAGACUGGAGUACUGCAGGGGAGACUGGAAUUCCUGGUGUAGCGGUGGAAUGCGCAGAUAUCAGGAGGAACACCGGUGGCGAAGGCGGGUCUCUGGACCGAUACUGACGCUGAGGCGCGAAAGCGUGGGGAGCAAACAGG